CAAUAGCGUAUAUUAAAGUUGUUGCAGUUAAAAAGCUCGUAGUUGGACCUUGGACCUGGACAGGCGGUCCGCCUCACGGCGAGUACUGUCUUGCUGGGUCUUUCCUCUUGGUGAUCUGUUGUUUCGGCAGCAGGGAACCAGGACCUUUACUUUGAAAAAAUUAGAGUGUUCAAAGCAGGCUCGACGCCGGAAUAUAUUAGCAUGGAAUAAUAAAAUAGGACGUGCGGUUCUAUUUUGUUGGUUUUUGGAAUCGCCGUAAUGAUUAAUAGGGACAGUCGGGGGCAUUAGUACUCACAUGCUAGAGGUGAAAUUCUUGGAUUUUGUGAAGACUAACUUCUGCGAAAGCAUUUGCCAAGGAUGUUUUCGUUAA
RNAcentral lists this ribosomal RNA (370 nucleotides) under uncultured eukaryote. Its description in RNAcentral is "partial 18S ribosomal RNA". It matches the Rfam family "Eukaryotic small subunit ribosomal RNA", at positions 592 to 976 of the family's 1831-position model. The record is from RNAcentral.